RNAcentral lists this ribosomal RNA (471 nucleotides) under uncultured bacterium. RNAcentral describes it as "bacterial SSU rRNA". It matches the Rfam family "Bacterial small subunit ribosomal RNA", at positions 28 to 494 of the family's 1533-position model. The record is from RNAcentral.
GAUGAACGCUAGCGGCAGGCCUAAUACAUGCAAGCUGAACGGUAAAUAUUGUAGCAAUACGAUAUGAGAGUAGCGUAAGGGUGCGUAACACGUAUGCAAUCUGCCCUGUACAGGAGGAUAGCUCGGCGAAAGCCGGAUUAAUACUCCGUAAGAUUAUGGAGUGGCAUCACUUGAUAAUUAAAGUCGCAAGACGGUAUGGGAUGAGCAUGCGUCUGAUUAGCUAGUUGGUAGUGUAACGGACUACCAAGGCGAUGAUCAGUAGGGGAACUGAGAGGUUGAUCCCCCACACUGGCACUGAGAUACGGGCCAGACUCCUACGGGAGGCAGCAGUAGGGAAUAUUGGUCAAUGGAUGCAAGUCUGAAACAGCCAUGCCGCGUGCAGGAAGAAGGCCUUCUGGGUUGUAAACUGCUUUUGCCGGGGGAUAAAAAGCUCAUGCGUGAGCAAUUGAAGGUACCCGGUGAAUAAGCCAC